Molecule: ribosomal RNA, 1639 nt
Filed under: Campylobacter jejuni
Lineage: Bacteria; Pseudomonadati; Campylobacterota; Epsilonproteobacteria; Campylobacterales; Campylobacteraceae
Description: partial 23S ribosomal RNA
Rfam family: Bacterial large subunit ribosomal RNA
Source: RNAcentral
AUGCAGGCAUGAGUAGCGAUAAUUAAUGUGAGAAUCAUUAACGCCGUAAACCCAAGGUUUCCUACGCGAUGCUCGUCAUCGUAGGGUUAGUCGGGUCCUAAGUCGAGUCCGAAAGGGGUAGACGAUGGCAAAUUGGUUAAUAUUCCAAUACCAACAUUAGUGUGCGAUGGAAGGACGCUUAGGGCUAAGGGGGCUAGCGGAUGGAAGUGCUAGUCUAAGGUCGUAGGAGGUUAUACAGGCAAAUCCGUAUAACAAUACUCCGAGAACUGAAAGGCUUUUUGAAGUCUUCGGAUGGAUAGAAGAACCCCUGAUGCCGUCGAGCCAAGAAAAGUUUCUAAGUUUAGCUAAUGUUGCCCGUACCGUAAACCGACACAGGUGGGUGGGAUGAGUAUUCUAAGGCGCGUGGAAGAACUCUCUUUAAGGAACUCUGCAAAAUAGCACCGUAUCUUCGGUAUAAGGUGUGGUUAGCUUUGUAUUAGGAUUUACUCCGAAAGCAAGGAAACUUACAACAAAGAGUCCCUCCCGACUGUUUACCAAAAACACAGCACUCUGCUAACUCGUAAGAGGAUGUAUAGGGUGUGACGCCUGCCCGGUGCUCGAAGGUUAAUUGAUGGGGUUAGCAUUAGCGAAGCUCUUGAUCGAAGCCCGAGUAAACGGCGGCCGUAACUAUAACGGUCCUAAGGUAGCGAAAUUCCUUGUCGGUUAAAUACCGACCUGCAUGAAUGGCGUAACGAGAUGGGAGCUGUCUCAAAGAGGGAUCCAGUGAAAUUGUAGUGGAGGUGAAAAUUCCUCCUACCCGCGGCAAGACGGAAAGACCCCGUGGACCUUUACUACAGCUUGACACUGCUACUUGGAUAAGAAUGUGCAGGAUAGGUGGGAGGCUUUGAGUAUAUGACGCCAGUUGUAUAUGAGCCAUUGUUGAGAUACCACUCUUUCUUAUUUGGGUAGCUAACCAGCUUGAGUUAUCCUCAAGUGGGACAAUGUCUGGUGGGUAGUUUGACUGGGGCGGUCGCCUCCCAAAUAAUAACGGAGGCUUACAAAGGUUGGCUCAGAACGGUUGGAAAUCGUUCGUAGAGUAUAAAGGUAUAAGCCAGCUUAACUGCAAGACAUACAAGUCAAGCAGAGACGAAAGUCGGUCUUAGUGAUCCGGUGGUUCUGUGUGGAAGGGCCAUCGCUCAAAGGAUAAAAGGUACCCCGGGGAUAACAGGCUGAUCUCCCCCAAGAGCUCACAUCGACGGGGAGGUUUGGCACCUCGAUGUCGGCUCAUCGCAUCCUGGGGCUGGAGCAGGUCCCAAGGGUAUGGCUGUUCGCCAUUUAAAGCGGUACGCGAGCUGGGUUCAGAACGUCGUGAGACAGUUCGGUCCCUAUCUGCCGUGGGCGUAAGAAGAUUGAAGAGAUUUGACCCUAGUACGAGAGGACCGGGUUGAACAAACCACUGGUGUAGCUGUUGUUCUGCCAAGAGCAUCGCAGCGUAGCUAAGUUUGGAAAGGAUAAACGCUGAAAGCAUCUAAGCGUGAAGCCAACUCUAAGAUGAAUCUUCUCUAAGCUCUCUAGAAGACUACUAGUUUGAUAGGCUGGGUGUGUAAUGGAUGAAAGUCCUUUAGCUGACCAGUACUAAUAGAGCGUUUGGCUUAUCUUU